This is an RNA transcript of Populus trichocarpa (black cottonwood), 3463 nucleotides long. It is a transcript of the gene named probable WRKY transcription factor 57, with no coding region annotated. The record is from RefSeq and is a predicted model, not a curated record. Lineage: Eukaryota; Viridiplantae; Streptophyta; Magnoliopsida; Malpighiales; Salicaceae. The transcript has 7 exons.
UCUCCCUCUUUGAAUCUUUUCGGUGAAAAAAAAAAGAUUUAUAUAUUUUGACGGGACAGAAAGUUUUCUUUCUUCGAACCCUUAAAAGAGAGUUCAAAAACUACGCGUCUUUCCCAACACAACGAACUUCCUUUCUUAUCACACUUCCCCCCAAAACCCUAAUUCUCUCUCCCUCUCUAAAAACCUCACUCGCUCUCCCUCCUUUUCCUCCUAUCUUUUUAGCCUCUUCACUCUCUCCUUUUUAUCACUUGAAUCAACUCUUCAAUUCUCUUCCAGAAUUCAUUUCUUUUUUCAAUAGAUCUCUGCAGAUCAUUCAAUGGACGAUCGAGAUAAUCUUGAUCCAGGGACCGAGUUCACCAGCGAGUCAAGCUGGACACUCGGUCAUGACUCAGAUAGUGUCAAUUAUUUCUUCUCCAACGAUCGAGAGAACUCCAUACUCAGCGAAUUCGGAUGGAAUCUUCAAUCGGACGAACCAUCCCGGAUUAAGGACCUCGAUCGGAUAGAAGCAGAAGAGAGGUCCGAUUCGGCAGGAAACCUAGAGAUUCAGCGAUCAUCAGCAGCUGGUCCGGCAAGGUCUAGUGGUAGAGGCAGUCGUGACGUUUCGACUACGAACUAUCCAUCAGUAUCAUCGAGCUCCAGCGAGGAUCCACCCGAGAAGUCUACGGACUCCGGCGGGAAACCGCCUGAGAUACCGAGUACGGUUAAAAAGAAGGGUCAGAAAAGGAUCCGGCAGCCACGUUUUGCAUUUAUGACCAAAAGCGAAGUUGAUCAUCUUGAAGAUGGAUACAGAUGGCGGAAAUAUGGACAGAAGGCAGUUAAAAAUAGUCCAUUUCCUAGGAGCUACUAUCGCUGCACAAAUAGCAAAUGCACUGUGAAGAAAAGGGUUGAACGGUCGUCUGAAGAUCCCACCAUUGUGAUUACCACAUAUGAAGGCCAGCACUGUCACCAUACUGUUGGUUUUCCUCGAGGAGGAAUCAUUUGUCAUCAAGCUACAUUUUCUAGUCACAUGACUCCUCCAAUGUCGCAAUUUAUUUACCCUGGAAUGCAAUUACCCCGAGAAAAUCCUCCGAGUACUGUGGUGCAGUCACGGCCAUUACCGGUUGAAGCAAGAGAAUGCAGUACAGUGUCGUCAACACCAACUCCCCAACUUGCAACAGAUGGACUGCUUGGGGACAUUGUGCCUCCUGGAAUGCGAUGAUCAGGUUGAGAACGUGCAGAGAUGGUGUAACAUUGUUGUGGUGGCCCAUGUUCCGUGAGCAGGACGGCGAACUUUAUUUUGCUUAGCCCGUAGUGAGUCCACUUCACUGAGACUCUUCCAAUCCAACCCACUGGCAUGCAGUAUCCGACGUUGAUAUGCAUGUGCUUUUGCAUCAGUGCGGUGAAGUUUAUUGCAGGGAAAUCACGGGUAACUAUAUGUAAAAAUAAUAAAAACAUUAAAAAAAAUCAUAGUUUAAUUUUAUUAUAACUAAAAACUCUAAUUGAUUUUUAAAAGCUUGCCAUCUUGAUUUUUAUGUAUUAAAAAUUAAUAUCACUUCAAUUUAAAUUCUUUAAAUAUAUUAACCUUUUGUUUAUGAUUGUGGACUUUGCAACAUAGAGAUGUUUUGGAGAGGUUUAUCUUUGUUUUUUUUUUUUUUUUCCAUGUGAUAGCUUAGUUGCAACAGUACUUUUAUCUCCUUCGUAUUUUCUCUUAUUUCUUUUGAUUGGCUAAAAACUUUCAAAACAUGUUUCUAGUUCUAGUGUGAGGAUGAUCUUAGUCUAGGUUUUAAUCUAAAAAAAAAAUAUUAAAGGCUCAAAAGGAAACUAAGGGAAUAUUUUUUUUUAUGAAUAAUAAACAAAAAAUGGCAUUUCUUCAUCUCUUUACCAAAUUUGCUCAUGGCCCUCUUAAUCUUUUUUGCUUAUCAAUAGCGUGGAUUUUUACUUCAGAAUCAGUUGAUAGUGCUUUUUUACUCUCUUUUUUCUUCAAGUUUUAGCAAACUUUUCCUUCAGAUACCGCUUUUCACCACCUUUUCACCAAUUUAAUAAAUAUUUGGAAAUGUAAUAGUUUUUAUAGUUGUAUUUUAAAAAAAAAGAUUUAAAUAGACUUAAUUAUAAAUUAUAGAUUUUUUCUAAAUAAAAAUUUUAGGAUAGAAUUUUUAGUUUCAGCUAUAUAAAAUUAUAGUAUAUAUUAAUUAAUUAAAUAUUUUUAAAUACAAAACAUAGACCGAGUCACGAUACGUUGUCCCUUUGUACGUGAGAUCCAGGAUUGCUGGGAAGCAAAGUGAAAUAUUCACCUCAACUUAUUGAUUAAUUAUAUCGCCGCGGAAAUAAACGCGCCGGCCGUGGUGUGGUGUGGUGUGGUAUUUUCCUACUGACAAUUACCUUAUUAUAGCCGAACACGUAUCAUGGUGGAUUCAGCUGGCGAUUCAAACCGUACACCAUGACAUUAAAAAUGGCGCCGCGCUGUCCGCUGAAGCGUACGAGAGUUGACAUUCAGAAGCCCAUUUCCUCGGCGAUCUUUUAGCGAUUCCAAGGUGGCCGUUAGACAGCGAGGUCAAGUUUGAUAUCCAUCGCAUCGACAAGAUGUGCUAGAAGGCGAGCUCCCCCAUUAAACCAUUUUCUUAUACGUUUUUACAUCAGAUAUUUGUGUUUUGUCCUUUAACAUUUGUAUUAUUUUUACAUUUUCUUGUUUAGUGAACAUAAAAAAGAAAAUAAUAAUUCAAUACACCGUAAGCUAUCAAAAAGUUCAGCCCUGUAAUCAACACUGAUUACAGCUUUUCUUUUUCUUUUCUAUCCCUGUAACUUCACGGCCUUUCAAUCAAGUGCAAUCCAGCUGCAAAAGGCGUAAUAAGCUGUGCACCACAGAUCCAGUGCUUGUGCACCACAGAUCCUUUCCAGUGCAACUACAUGCAGGAAGUUAAGCUCUUGCAUUUUGUUUAGCUGGAAUGGACCGGCCAGAGCAUAUGCAAUGAUGGGCCGGCUUUAAAGUAGUUGAAGAAGAAGAGGAGGAAGAGAAAUGUUUCAGUGGCGAGAGCCUCUCCAUUAGAGCCUUCACCAAAUACUUUCAGACCUCUGUGAUUGCUGAGGUAACUAAUCUAACUGAGUUGAGUCUUUGAUUAAUCUUGUUUUGACUUUUGCUGAUCCGGAAAUGGUUGUUACGGUGUGCUACUGCUAACUACACUUACUUGCUACUGACAACUAACUUCUGUUUAUCCAUCCCAUGGAUAGAUUAACUACGCCAUUUUGGCUGGUGUGGUGGAGGCGGCAAUAAUGAGGUGGGGGGAUAAACAAGUGAAGAAGAACAAGCUCACGCAUGUGCUGAACUCUUUUGUAUUUGCUAACACGGUUUUCUUAUGAUUAACUCAAUUGCGCUCAAACAUGUGGAUGAAUUUACUUGUUCUUCCAUUUGUUGUAAAAAUGAGCAUGGACUCAGAAACUGAAGGUUGAGGUUUCAUUAUACGUUAUAGAAUGCUAUGAUUCUUAUCCA